RNAcentral lists this ribosomal RNA (459 nucleotides) under uncultured Rhodocyclaceae bacterium. Its description in RNAcentral is "bacterial SSU rRNA". It matches the Rfam family "Bacterial small subunit ribosomal RNA", at positions 923 to 1382 of the family's 1533-position model. The record is from RNAcentral. Lineage: Bacteria; Pseudomonadati; Pseudomonadota; Betaproteobacteria; Rhodocyclales; Rhodocyclaceae.
GCACAAGCGGUGGAUGAUGUGGAUUAAUUCGAUGCAACGCGAAAACCUUACCUACCCUUGACAUGUCCGGAAUCCCGAAGAGAUUUGGGAGUGCUCGCAAGAGAACCGGAACACAGGUGCUGCAUGGCUGUCGUCAGCUCGUGUCGUGAGAUGUUGGGUUAAGUCCCGCAACGAGCGCAACCCUUGUCAUUAGUUGCCAUCAUUUGGUUGGGCACUCUAAUGAGACUGCCGGUGACAAACCGGAGGAAGGUGGGGAUGACGUCAAGUCCUCAUGGCCCUUAUGGGUAGGGCUUCACACGUCAUACAAUGGUCGGUACAGAGGGUUGCCAACCCGCGAGGGGGAACUAAUCCCACAAAGCCGAUCGUAGUCCGGAUCGCAGUCUGCAACUCGACUGCGUGAAGUCGGAAUCGCUAGUAAUCGUGGAUCAGCAUGUCACGGUGAAUACGUUCCCGGGUCUU